CCUACGGGUGGCAGCAGUCGAGAAUUUUUCACAAUGGGCGCAAGCCUGAUGGAGCGACGCCGCGUGGGGGAUGAAGGGCUUCGGCUCGUAAACCCCUGUCAUUUGCGAACAAACCCUCGUUUUGAAUAGGAGCGAGGUUGAUUGUAGCGAAAGAGGAAGGGACGGCUAACUCUGUGCCAGCAGCCGCGGUAAUACAGAGGUCCCGAGCGUUGUUCGGAUUCACUGGGCGUAAAGGGUGCGUAGGUGGUGGGGUAAGUCUCGUGUGAAAGCUCGCAGCUUAACUGCGAAAAGUCACGGGAUACUAUUCCGCUGGAGGCUUGGAGGGGGGACUGGAAUACUUGGUGUAGCAGUGAAAUGCGUAGAUAUCAAGUGGAACACCAGUGGCGAAGGCGAGUCCCUGGACAAGACCUGACACUGAGGCACGAAAGCCAGGGGAGCAA
RNAcentral lists this ribosomal RNA (440 nucleotides) under uncultured bacterium. RNAcentral's name for it is "bacterial SSU rRNA". It matches the Rfam family "Bacterial small subunit ribosomal RNA", at positions 338 to 771 of the family's 1533-position model. The record is from RNAcentral.